UACGUAGGGUGCAAGCGUUGUCCGGAAUUAUUGGGCGUAAAGAGCUCGUAGGUGGUCUGUUACGUCGGCUGUGAAAACCUAGGGCUCAACCCUGGGCCUGCAGCCGAUACGGGCAGACUAAAAUUCGGUAGGGGAGACUGGAAUUCCUGGUGUAGUGGUGAAAUGCGCAGAUAUCAGGAGGAACACCGGUGGCGAAGGUGGGUUUUUGGGCCGAUAUUGACGCUGAGGAGCGAAAGCGUGGGGAGCGAACAGG
Molecule: ribosomal RNA, 253 nt
Filed under: uncultured bacterium
Lineage: Bacteria
Description: partial 16S ribosomal RNA
Rfam family: Bacterial small subunit ribosomal RNA
Source: RNAcentral